Molecule: ribosomal RNA, 376 nt
Filed under: uncultured Gammaproteobacteria bacterium
Lineage: Bacteria; Pseudomonadati; Pseudomonadota; Gammaproteobacteria
Description: bacterial SSU rRNA
Rfam family: Bacterial small subunit ribosomal RNA
Source: RNAcentral
UAAUACGGAGGGUGCAAGCGUUAAUCGGAAUUACUGGGCGUAAAGCGUACGUAGGAUGUAAUGCAAGUCGGAUGUGAAAUCCCCGGGCUUAACCUGGGAACUGCAUUCGAAACUACAUUACUAGAGUGUAGUAGAGGUAAGCGGAAUUUCGGGUGUAGCGGUGAAAUGCGUAGAUAUCCGAAAGAACAUCAGUGGCGAAGGCGGCUUACUGGACUAACACUGACUCUGAGGUACGAAAGCGUGGGUAGCAAACAGGAUUAGAUACCCUGGUAGUCCACGCCGUAAACGAUGUCAACUAGACGUUGGGCUCCUUGAGAGCUUAGUGUCGCAGCUAACGCGUUAAGUUGACCGCCUGGGGAGUACGGUCGCAAGAUUA